UUUCGGAAGCACGGUAUAUUUCAAACUAUCUGCUUCAUUCUUUUGUGGUGUAAUUGUAAUUAUGUUUCCAAGAACAAAUUUUUAGCUAGUAGUUCCUUUUCUAAUACUACUUAUCUUUUCUUAGUUUUCCCCAUGUGACUUUGUUUUCCAGGUUCUAGCUGCCGAUACUUUAGUUUCUGAUUGGCUACAAUGAGUCGUCGAAACACUGACGCCGUUACCACAUUCGUCCGUCGUUACCACUUCCGUCCACCUGGAAAACAAAGGUCACAUGGGCAAUCACGGAGUUGCAGACAAGUACGACAUCGUCGACGGAAGUGAAUGAAGAAGAGAAGGAGGAGAAGAGGAAUUCUGAUUUGAAUU
This 360-nucleotide long non-coding RNA is filed under the name Capsicum annuum. RNAcentral describes it as "long non-coding RNA (CANN_LNC004463)". The record is from RNAcentral. Lineage: Eukaryota; Viridiplantae; Streptophyta; Magnoliopsida; Solanales; Solanaceae.